GAUCUCUCUAUGCAGUUGAGGCUGAUCUUGAACUCACUUUGUAGCCCAGGCUGGCCUCGAACUGGAAACAAUCCUCCUGCCUCAGCCUCCCCAGUGCUAGGACUACAGGCAUGCACCACCAUGCC
Molecule: microRNA precursor, 125 nt
Filed under: Octodon degus (degu)
Lineage: Eukaryota; Metazoa; Chordata; Mammalia; Rodentia; Octodontidae
Description: miRNA (ENSODEG00000021974.1)
Source: RNAcentral